GAUGAACGCUGGCGGCGUGCCUAAUACAUGCAAGUCGAGCGAACGGACGAGAAGCUUGCUUCUCUGAUGUUAGCGGCGGACGGGUGAGUAACACGUGGAUAACCUACCUAUAAGACUGGGAUAACUUCGGGAAACCGGAGCUAAUACCGGAUAAUAUUUUGAACCGCAUGGUUCAAAAGUGAAAGACGGUCUUGCUGUCACUUAUAGAUGGAUCCGCGCUGCAUUAGCUAGUUGGUAAGGUAACGGCUUACCAAGGCAACGAUGCAUAGCCGACCUGAGAGGGUGAUCGGCCACACUGGAACUGAGACACGGUCCAGACUCCUACGGGAGGCAGCAGUAGGGAAUCUUCCGCAAUGGGCGAAAGCCUGACGGAGCAACGCCGCGUGAGUGAUGAAGGUCUUCGGAUCGUAAAACUCCGUUAUUAGGGAAGAACAUAUGUGUAAGUAACUGUGCACAUCUUGACGGUACCUAAUCAGAAAGCCACGGCUAACUACGU
This 496-nucleotide ribosomal RNA is filed under the name uncultured bacterium. RNAcentral describes it as "partial 16S ribosomal RNA". It matches the Rfam family "Bacterial small subunit ribosomal RNA", at positions 28 to 506 of the family's 1533-position model. The record is from RNAcentral.